This 479-nucleotide ribosomal RNA is filed under the name uncultured bacterium. RNAcentral's name for it is "partial 16S ribosomal RNA". It matches the Rfam family "Bacterial small subunit ribosomal RNA", at positions 28 to 507 of the family's 1533-position model. The record is from RNAcentral.
GUUGAACGCUGGCGGCGUGCUUAACACAUGCAAGUCGAACGAAGUGUUUAUUCAAAGUUCUUCGGGAUAGAGAAUAAAUUACUUAGUGGCGGACGGGUGAGUAACGCGUGGGUAACCUGCCUCACACAGGGGGAUAACAGGUGGAAACGACUGCUAAUACCGCAUAAGAACACAGCACCCCAUGGUGCAGGGGUAAAAGAUUUAACGGUGAGAGAUGGACCUUCGACUGAUUAGAUAGUUGGCGGAGUAGAAGCCUACCAAGUCAAUGAUCAGUACCCGAGCUGAGAGAGUGAUCGGCCACAUUGGGGCUGCGCCACAGCCCACACUACUGCGCGAGGCAGCAGUGGGGAAUAUUGGACAGUCGGGGGAACCCUGAUCCAGCAACGCCGCGUAAGUGAUGAAGUCUUUCGGUAUGUAAAGCUCUAUAAGCAUGGAAGAAAAUGACGGUACCUGACUAAGAAGCCCCGGCUAACUACGUG